This 224-nucleotide ribosomal RNA is filed under the name uncultured Ascomycota. RNAcentral describes it as "partial small subunit ribosomal RNA". It matches the Rfam family "Bacterial small subunit ribosomal RNA", at positions 524 to 776 of the family's 1533-position model. The record is from RNAcentral. Lineage: Eukaryota; Fungi; Ascomycota.
UACGUAAGAGGCUAGCGUUAUUCAUCAGAAAUAGGUUUAAAGGGUACCUAGACGGUCAUAAUAGCAUUGUUUAAAUUAAACUAUUUGACUAGAGUUUUAAUGAGGAAGGGAGAACUUGCGGAGAAGGGAUAAAAUCUUAUGAUACCAAAAGGACAGCUAAGGGCGUAGGCAGCCUUCCAGGUAAGAACUGACGUUGAGGGACGAAAGCAUAGGUCACAAACAGG